RNAcentral lists this ribosomal RNA (443 nucleotides) under Atopobium sp. oral taxon 416. RNAcentral's name for it is "bacterial SSU rRNA". It matches the Rfam family "Bacterial small subunit ribosomal RNA", at positions 28 to 483 of the family's 1533-position model. The record is from RNAcentral. Lineage: Bacteria; Bacillati; Actinomycetota; Coriobacteriia; Coriobacteriales; Atopobiaceae.
GAUGAACGCGGCGGCGCGCCUAACACAUGCAAGUCGAACGGUUAAAGCACCUUCGGGUGUGUAUAGAGUGGCGAACGGCUGAGUAACACGUGGGCAACCUGCCCUUUGCAUCGGGACAGCCUCGGGAAACCGUGGUUAAUACCGGAUACUCCAUCUUUCUCACAUGAAAAAGAUGGGAAAGUGUUUAGCGGCAAGGGAUGGGCCCGCGCCCUGUUAGCUUGUUGGUGGGGUAAAAGCCUACCAAGGCAAUGAUGGGUAGCCGGGUUGAGAGACCGACCGGCCAGAUUGGGACUGAGACACGGCCCAGACUCCUACGGGAGGCAGCAGUGGGGAAUCUUGCACAAUGGGCGAAAGCCUGAUGCAGCGACGCCGCGUGCGGGAUGAAGGCCUUCGGGUUGUAAACCGCUUUCAGCAGGGACGAGGCGAAAGUGACGGUACCUGCA